GUUGUAUGGUUAAGUGACUAAGCGUACAUGGUGGAUGCUUGGCAGUCAGAGGCGAUGAAGGACG
Molecule: ribosomal RNA, 64 nt
Filed under: Aeromonas allosaccharophila
Lineage: Bacteria; Pseudomonadati; Pseudomonadota; Gammaproteobacteria; Aeromonadales; Aeromonadaceae
Description: partial 23S ribosomal RNA
Source: RNAcentral